GAUAAGGUUUCCCUCCCCGACAUUUGUGUCGGGGGUAAAGGCCUCCCGUAGACUACGGGUUUGAUAGGUCACAGGUGUAAGUCCGGUAACGGAUUUAGCCGAGUGAUACUAAUUGGCCGUCAGGCUUUAUCGA
This 133-nucleotide ribosomal RNA is filed under the name Binatia bacterium. RNAcentral's name for it is "partial 23S ribosomal RNA". It matches the Rfam family "Bacterial large subunit ribosomal RNA", at positions 2803 to 2925 of the family's 2925-position model. The record is from RNAcentral. Lineage: Bacteria; Candidatus Binatota; Binatia (SeqCode).